RNAcentral lists this ribosomal RNA (656 nucleotides) under Salmonella enterica subsp. enterica serovar Havana. RNAcentral describes it as "partial 23S ribosomal RNA". It matches the Rfam family "Bacterial large subunit ribosomal RNA", at positions 646 to 1298 of the family's 2925-position model. The record is from RNAcentral. Lineage: Bacteria; Pseudomonadati; Pseudomonadota; Gammaproteobacteria; Enterobacterales; Enterobacteriaceae.
UUAACCGAAUAGGGGAGCCGUAGGGAAACCGAGUCUUAACCGGGCGUUAAGUUGCAGGGUAUAGACCCGAAACCCGGUGAUCUAGCCAUGGGCAGGUUGAAGGUUGGGUAACACUAACUGGAGGACCGAACCGACUAAUGUUGAAAAAUUAGCGGAUGACCUGUGGCUGGGGGUGAAAGGCCAAUCAAACCGGGAGAUAGCUGGUUCUCCCCGAAAGCUAUUUAGGUAGCGCCUCGUGAAUUCAUCUCCGGGGGUAGAGCACUGUUUCGGCUAGGGGGCCAUCCCGGCUUACCAACCCGAUGCAAACUGCGAAUACCGGAGAAUGUUAUCACGGGAGACACACGGCGGGUGCUAACGUCCGUCGUGAAGAGGGAAACAACCCAGACCGCCAGCUAAGGUCCCAAAGUCAUGGUUAAGUGGGAAACGAUGUGGGAAGGCCCAGACAGCCAGGAUGUUGGCUUAGAAGCAGCCAUCAUUUAAAGAAAGCGUAAUAGCUCACUGGUCGAGUCGGCCUGCGCGGAAGAUGUAACGGGGCUAAACCAUGCACCGAAGCUGCGGCAGCGAACGUAUCACUUAAAGCGAUUCAGCGGGUUACGAUUGACGGAGCGAAGCGACGUCAAAGCGUAUACAAAGUCGAGUCGGUUUAAGGAUACGUU